Molecule: ribosomal RNA, 460 nt
Filed under: uncultured bacterium
Lineage: Bacteria
Description: partial 16S ribosomal RNA
Rfam family: Bacterial small subunit ribosomal RNA
Source: RNAcentral
CCUACGGGCGGCAGCAGUGAGGAAUAUUGGUCAAUGGACGAGAGUCUGAACCAGCCAAGUAGCGUGAAGGAUGACUGCCCUAUGGGUUGUAAACUUCUUUUAUAAAGGAAUAAAACGAGGCACGUGUGCCUUUUUGCAUGUACUUUAUGAAUAAGGAUCGGCUAACUCCGUGCCAGCAGCCGCGGUAAUACGGAGGAUCCGAGCGUUAUCCGGAUUUAUUGGGUUUAAAGGGAGCGUAGAUGGGUUGUUAAGUCAGUUGUGAAAGUUUGCGGCUCAACCGUAAAAUUUCAAUUGAUACUGGCAGUCGUGAGUACAGUUGAGGUAGGCGGAAUUCGUGGUGUAGCGGUGAAAUGCUUAGAUAUCACGAAGAACCCCGAUUGCGAAGGCAGCUUACUAAACUGUGACUGACAUUGAUGCUCGAAAGUGUGGGUAUCAAACAGGAUUAGAUACCCUUGUAGUC